This 860-nucleotide ribosomal RNA is filed under the name Staphylococcus pasteuri. RNAcentral describes it as "bacterial SSU rRNA". It matches the Rfam family "Bacterial small subunit ribosomal RNA", at positions 94 to 939 of the family's 1533-position model. The record is from RNAcentral. Lineage: Bacteria; Bacillati; Bacillota; Bacilli; Caryophanales; Staphylococcaceae.
AGCGGCGGACGGGUGAGUAACACGUGGAUAACCUACCUAUAAGACUGGGAUAACUUCGGGAAACCGGAGCUAAUACCGGAUAACAUAUUGAACCGCAUGGUUCAAUAGUGAAAGGCGGCUUUGCUGUCACUUAUAGAUGGAUCCGCGCCGUAUUAGCUAGUUGGUAAGGUAACGGCUUACCAAGGCAACGAUACGUAGCCGACCUGAGAGGGUGAUCGGCCACACUGGAACUGAGACACGGUCCAGACUCCUACGGGAGGCAGCAGUAGGGAAUCUUCCGCAAUGGGCGAAAGCCUGACGGAGCAACGCCGCGUGAGUGAUGAAGGUCUUCGGAUCGUAAAACUCUGUUAUCAGGGAAGAACAAAUGUGUAAGUAACUGUGCACAUCUUGACGGUACCUGAUCAGAAAGCCACGGCUAACUACGUGCCAGCAGCCGCGGUAAUACGUAGGUGGCAAGCGUUAUCCGGAAUUAUUGGGCGUAAAGCGCGCGUAGGCGGUUUUUUAAGUCUGAUGUGAAAGCCCACGGCUCAACCGUGGAGGGUCAUUGGAAACUGGAAUACUUGAGUGCAGAAGAGGAAAGUGGAAUUCCAUGUGUAGCGGUGAAAUGCGCAGAGAUAUGGAGGAACACCAGUGGCGAAGGCGACUUUCUGGUCUGUAACUGACGCUGAUGUGCGAAAGCGUGGGGAUCAAACAGGAUUAGAUACCCUGGUAGUCCACGCCGUAAACGAUGAGUGCUAAGUGUUAGGGGUAUUCCGCCCCCUUAGUGCUGCAGCUAACGCAUUAAGCACUCCGCCUGGGGAGUACGACCGCAAGGUUGAAACUCAAAGGAAUUGACGCGGACCCGCACAAGCGGUGGAGCA